AACGAACGCUGGCGGCGUGCCUAACACAUGCAAGUCGUGCGAGAAAGUUCCUUCGGGAGCGAGUAAAGCGGCGCACGGGUGAGUAACACGUAGGUAACCUGCCCCCCAGUCUGGAACAACUAGAGGAAACUCUAGCUAAUGCCGGAUGAGACCACGAUCCCUUCGGGGGUUGCGGCCAAAGAUGGCCUCUACUUGUAAGCUAUCGCUGAGGGAUGGGGCCUGCGGGCCAUUAGCUUGUUGGUGAGGUAACGGCUCACCAAGGCUGUGAUGGCUAGCUGGUCUGAGAGGAUGACCAGCCACACUGGGACUGAGACACGGCCCAGAC
RNAcentral lists this ribosomal RNA (325 nucleotides) under uncultured bacterium. Its description in RNAcentral is "bacterial SSU rRNA". It matches the Rfam family "Bacterial small subunit ribosomal RNA", at positions 29 to 336 of the family's 1533-position model. The record is from RNAcentral.